This 740-nucleotide ribosomal RNA is filed under the name uncultured bacterium. Its description in RNAcentral is "bacterial SSU rRNA". It matches the Rfam family "Bacterial small subunit ribosomal RNA", at positions 8 to 748 of the family's 1533-position model. The record is from RNAcentral.
AGAGUUUGAUCAUUGGCUCAGAUUGAACGCUGGCGGCAUGCUUUACACAUGCAAGUCGAACGGUAACGCGGGGGCAACCCUGGCGACGAGUGGCGAACGGGUGAGUAAUACAUCGGAACGUGCCCAGUAGUGGGGGAUAGCUCGGCGAAAGCCGGAUUAAUACCGCAUACGACCUACGGGUGAAAGCGGGGGAUCGCAAGACCUCGCGCUAUUGGAGCGGCCGAUGGCAGAUUAGCUUGUUGGUGGGGUAAAAGCCUACCAAGGCGACGAUCUGUAGCUGGUCUGAGAGGACGACCAGCCACACUGGGACUGAGACACGGCCCAGACUCCUACGGGAGGCAGCAGUGGGGAAUUUCUGGACAAUGGGCGCAAGCCUGAUCCAGCAAUGCCGCGUGUGUGAUGAAGGCCUUCGGGUUGUAAAGCACUUUUAGUGGGAACGAAACGGUCCGGGCCAAUACCCUGGACUAAUGACGGUACCCGCAGAAUAAGCACCGGCUAACUACGUGCCAGCAGCCGCGGUAAUACGUAGGGUGCAAGCGUUAAUCGGAAUUACUGGGCGUAAAGCGUGCGCAGGCGGUUAGUAAGACGAUGUGAAAUCCCCGGGCUUAACUGGGAACUGCAUUGGUGACUGCAAGGCUUGAGUGUGUCAGAGGGAGGUGGAAUCCGCGUGUAGCAGUUGAAUGCGGUAGAUAUCGGGAGGAACAUCGUGGCGAGGCGGACACUGGACAGCACUGACACUG